UAACUGUCUCCUCUCUCUAAUCAGCGAAAUUAAUCUCCUCGUGAAAAAGCGAGGAUUCUAACAUAAGACGAAAAGACCCUGUGGAGCUUUAAACAAACUAACAACUAAUAUACUUCAUCCACCCUAUAUUGAGAUGAUUACAAGUUUUUGGUUGGGGUGACCAUGGAGCAAAAACCAACCUCCAAGAUGAUAAAGGACCCCCUUUAACAUAAAACUACAAUUUUAUGUAUCAGAAUACUGACAUCAAUUGACCCUUCUUGAUCAACGAACCAAGCUACCCCAGGGAUAACAGCGCAAUCUGCCUCAAGAGUACAUAUCGACAAGCAG
Molecule: ribosomal RNA, 327 nt
Filed under: Adelophryne gutturosa (Guiana Shield frog)
Lineage: Eukaryota; Metazoa; Chordata; Amphibia; Anura; Eleutherodactylidae
Description: partial 16S ribosomal RNA
Rfam family: Bacterial large subunit ribosomal RNA
Source: RNAcentral